CCUACGGGCGGCAGCAGUGAGGAAUAUUGGUCAAUGGGCUUACGCCUGAACCAGCCAAGUCGCGUGAGGGAGGAAUGCCCUAAGCGUUGUAAACCUCUUUUGUCGGGGAGCAAAGCGAGGCACGGGUGACUCAUUGAGAGUACCCGAAGAAAAAGCAUCGGCUAACUCCGUGCCAGCAGCCGCGGUAAUACGGAGGGGGCAAGCGUUAUCCGGAUUUACUGGGUGUAAAGGGAGCGUAGACGGCAGCGCAAGUCUGAGGGGAAAUGCCGGGGCUUAACCCCGGAACUGCCUUGGAAACUGGGCAGCUUGAGUGCAGGAGAGGUAAGUGGAAUUCCCAGUGUAGCGGUGAAAUGCGUAGAUAUUAGGAGGAACACCAGUGGCGAAGGCGGCUUACCGGACUGUAACUGACGUUGAGGCUCGAAAGCGUGGGGAGCAAACAGGAUUAGAUACCCUUGUAGUC
RNAcentral lists this ribosomal RNA (460 nucleotides) under uncultured bacterium. Its description in RNAcentral is "partial 16S ribosomal RNA". It matches the Rfam family "Bacterial small subunit ribosomal RNA", at positions 338 to 795 of the family's 1533-position model. The record is from RNAcentral.